UGAGGAAUAUUGCGCAAUGGACGGAAGUCUGACGCAGCAACGCCGCGUGGGUGAAGAAGGUUUUCGGAUCGUAAAGCCCUUUUCUGGGUGACGAGGAAGGACGGUAACCCAGGAAAAAGUGUCGGCUAACUACGUGCCAGCAGCCGCGGUAAAACGUAGGACGCAAGCGUUAUCCGGAAUUACUGGGCGUAAAGCGCGUGCAGGCGGGGCACUAAGUCAUGUGUGAAAGCUCCCGGCUAAACUGGGAGAGCGCGGAUGAGACUGGUGUUCUGGAGGGUGGUAGAGGUGUGUGGAAUUCCGCGUGUAGUGGUGAAAUGCGUAGAGAUGCGGAGGAACACCAGAGGCGAAGGCGGCACACUGGGCCACACCUGACGCUGAGGCGCGAAAGCAUGGGUAGCGAACGGGAUUAGAUACCCCCGUAGUCC
This 425-nucleotide ribosomal RNA is filed under the name uncultured prokaryote. RNAcentral describes it as "bacterial SSU rRNA". It matches the Rfam family "Bacterial small subunit ribosomal RNA", at positions 355 to 796 of the family's 1533-position model. The record is from RNAcentral.